UUCUAUUGAUGGCCCUGUUGAAUUUUGUAUGCGCCAAGCCGCCCUCUUCACUCUAGAUGACCCUGAAGUUCUCAUCAUGGGAGGAAGUACUGUUAACAAGCACAGCGUACCCGGCACUUCUGAGGAGAUGCAGCCUGGGAAUUCAGUGGACAUAUAACCCCAAGAGAUUGCCACAGCACAAGAUGAGAGGCUGUAUACAUGAGGUGGGUGCCUUUUUUUAAAGGUGGAAUUCUAUAACCUGAGGUUAGCCAUUGUGAAGUGAGUGCUCAGCAGAAUUUGGUGCAUUCUCAAUGUUGGCCACCCAUAACUCCACCUGGUGCCAGAGCACCAACCCAGAGAACACGUCACACCUACUGACCAGGUCUUGCUUCCCCAGAGCGCCUGCCACCAGCAAUCAGCUCCAUGUCACUGUGGACCACCUGUGCGGGGACUUCCUCGCGGGGGAAUGGUAGCCU
Molecule: long non-coding RNA, 455 nt
Filed under: Ictidomys tridecemlineatus (thirteen-lined ground squirrel)
Lineage: Eukaryota; Metazoa; Chordata; Mammalia; Rodentia; Sciuridae
Description: lncRNA (ENSSTOG00000031298.1)
Source: RNAcentral